Neoarius graeffei (lesser salmon catfish) is the source of this 391-nucleotide non-coding RNA. Lineage: Eukaryota; Metazoa; Chordata; Actinopteri; Siluriformes; Ariidae. The record is from the annotation of a RefSeq genome assembly.
GAUGUGGGUUUGGGCUUACAGGCUCUGCAUUCUUCUCUCUCUGUUAUCCAGUCUGUCAGACUGUGCCCAGGUUAAGCAGCCAUCAGAUCUGAUUGCAAAUCUCAAUGAUAAAGUUCACAUCUCCUGUCAACAUAAUGACGACAAUUUAGAAGUCAUGUUGUGGUAUCAGCAAAGGACGGAAAGUGCAACUAUGGCUUUGAUCGGCUAUAGUUAUGCUACAGCUCCACCAAACAAUGAAGCUGGAUACCCAGCUACACGGUUCAAACAGAGCAAGACUAACACUGUAACUGGAGACCUGACCAUCUCUAAUCUCACCCUGUCAGAUUCUGCUGUGUAUUACUGUGCUGCCAAAACUACACAGUGCUUGUGUUUCAUCACCUGCCUGACUUAA